AGCUGCCGUUUCCAAUUGACCAGUGUGAUCAUUCCUAUUUCAACCCACCAUUCUCAGGCCCUGCUGUGGACCUGAGAACAGCUUCAGUGACAAACUCUCCCUGUGUCCUCUAUUUCAGCCCUCCUGGUGAUUGGCUGCUGACUCUCUGAUCCUAUUCUGGUCCUUUGGAACACUCUGAGGUUGCAUUCAUGGACUCUCAUCUCUUGCUGCAGAGCACUGCUUCAUGCUCUUGUGAUACUUUGCUGCUUUUAUGUGCUAAAGCGGAGAAUUAUAAGAGAGAUUAUAAGUGAGAUUUCCAACGUUGUGCUGGCAGAGCAAAGAAUGAGUGUGGAGCUGUGCUUACCUAAUGAACCCCCAUGUGGCAGGAGGAGGUCCUGUGGCCCACAGCUGCCUGGUGAUGUGCAAAAAGCAAAUUGCUGUCACUGCAGAGGUGCUGAGAGUGACUUCUGGAAGCCCUAUGCAUCUGGUAACUAAAACGCCAUAAGGAUUUCUCAUAAUGAUAGCUAACAGUUUUCUAGCCAAAAGGCAUUUUGGCCAAAACAAACCCCAA
Molecule: long non-coding RNA, 550 nt
Filed under: Gallus gallus (chicken)
Lineage: Eukaryota; Metazoa; Chordata; Aves; Galliformes; Phasianidae
Description: long non-coding RNA NONGGAT004756
Source: RNAcentral